GUGCCAGCAGCCGCGGUAAUACGUAGGUGGCAAGCGUUAUCCGGAAUUAUUGGGCGUAAAGCGCGCGUAGGCGGUUUUUUAAGUCUGAUGUGAAAGCCCACGGCUCAACCGUGGAGGGUCAUUGGAAACUGGAAAACUUGAGUGCAGAAGAGGAAAGUGGAACUCCAUGUGUAGCGGUGAAAUGCGCAGAGAUAUGGAGGAACACCAGUGGCGAAGGCGACUUUCUGGUCUGUAACUGACGCUGAUGUGCGAAAGCGUGGGGAUCAGACAGGAUUAGAUACCCUG
RNAcentral lists this ribosomal RNA (285 nucleotides) under uncultured Staphylococcus sp. RNAcentral describes it as "partial 16S ribosomal RNA". It matches the Rfam family "Bacterial small subunit ribosomal RNA", at positions 505 to 789 of the family's 1533-position model. Lineage: Bacteria; Bacillati; Bacillota; Bacilli; Caryophanales; Staphylococcaceae. The record is from RNAcentral.